Molecule: unclassified non-coding RNA, 200 nt
Filed under: soil metagenome
Description: partial contains internal transcribed spacer 2 and large subunit ribosomal RNA
Source: RNAcentral
AGUUGCUGGCUCACUACGAAUCAGCUCUUCUUAAAUGUAUUAGCGAAGAUCUUUGCUGCUCAUCAUUGGUAUGAUAAUUAUCUAUAUCAUUGAUAAACAGUGUCCUUCACGGGAGAGGUCUUGCUUCUAAUAGUCUUUUUGAAGACAAUAUUAUGAUAACUUUUGACCUCAAAUCAGGUAGGACUACCCGCUGAACUUAA